UCGCUCAGGCCUCUCCUCAGAAUCACGACCUAAUCUUUCGCCUUUUACUAAAGAUUACCGUGGGGAGGGGCAUUUCAAUGAGCUUAGGCCAAUUUUUGAAAGGCCACUACCGUAUGGUAG
Molecule: non-coding RNA, 120 nt
Organism: Ixodes scapularis (black-legged tick)
Lineage: Eukaryota; Metazoa; Arthropoda; Arachnida; Ixodida; Ixodidae
Source: Rfam